UACGUAGGGGGCAAGCGUGGUCCGGAUUUAUUGGGCGUAACGAGCGUGUAGGCGGCCAAGCAGGUCCGCUGUGAAAACUCGAGGCUCAACCUCGAGACGUCGGUGGAAACCGUUUGGCUAGAGUCCGGAAGAGGAGAGUGGAAUUCCCGGUGUAGCGGUGAAAUGCGCAGAUAUCGGGAAGAACACCCGUGGCGAAGGCGGCUCUCUGGGACGGUACUGACGCUGAGACGCGAAAGCGUGGGGAGCGAACAGG
RNAcentral lists this ribosomal RNA (253 nucleotides) under uncultured bacterium. Its description in RNAcentral is "partial 16S ribosomal RNA". It matches the Rfam family "Bacterial small subunit ribosomal RNA", at positions 524 to 776 of the family's 1533-position model. The record is from RNAcentral.